This 310-nucleotide RNase P RNA is filed under the name uncultured Helicobacter sp. RNAcentral's name for it is "Bacterial RNase P class A". It matches the Rfam family "Bacterial RNase P class A". Rfam says of the family: Ribonuclease P (RNase P) is a ubiquitous endoribonuclease, found in archaea, bacteria and eukarya as well as chloroplasts and mitochondria. The record is from RNAcentral. Lineage: Bacteria; Pseudomonadati; Campylobacterota; Epsilonproteobacteria; Campylobacterales; Helicobacteraceae.
GCAGGUGGUUGCUUUUAGAAUCUAAAAGAGGAAAGUCCGAGCUACAUUAAGACAGGAUUCCAUUUAACAAAUGGCUGAUGUAAAUCAAGGGAAAGUGCAACAGAAAACAACCGCCAGCGUAAGAAAAUGGUAAGGGUGAAAAGGCGGGGUAAGAGCCCACCGACAUUGUAGCAAUACAUUGUGCCGUGCAAACCCAAUCCGUAGCAAGAAGAGUAGGUUAGAAGUCUUAAAUCUCUUAGCUCUUCGCAAGAGUGCGGUAGCGAUGCCGCACCUAGAUAAAUAGCCACCCACGACAGAACUCGGCUUAUGC